UUGAUCCUGGCUCCGGACGAACUCUGGCGGCGCGCCUAACACAUGCAAGUCGAACGAGCGAGAGAGAGCUUGCUUUCUCAAGCGAGUGGCGAACGGGUGAGUAACGCGUGAGGAACCUGCCUCAAAGAGGGGGACAACAGUUGGAAACGACUGCUAAUACCGCAUAAGCCCACAGCUCGGCAUCGAGCAGAGGGAAAAGGAGCAAUCCGCUUUGAGAUGGCCUCGCGUCCGAUUAGCUAGUUGGUGAGGUAAUGGCCCACCAAGGCGACGAUCGGUAGCCGGACUGAGAGGUUGAACGGCCACAUUGGGACUGAGACACGGCCCAGACUCCUACGGGAGGCAGCAGUGGGGAAUAUUGCACAAUGGGGGAAACCCUGAUGCAGCGACGCCGCGUGGAGGAAGAAGGUCUUCGGAUUGUAAACUCCUGUUGUUGAGGAAGAUAAUGACGGUACUCAACAAGGAAGUGACGGCUAACUACGUGCCAGCAGCCGCGGUAAAACGUAGGUCACAAGCGUUGUCCGGAAUUACUGGGUGUAAAGGGAGCGCAGGCGGGAAGACAAGUUGGAAGUGAAAUCUAUGGGCUCAACCCAUAAACUGCUUUCAAAACUGUUUUUCUUGAGUAGUGCAGAGGUAGGCGGAAUUCCCGGUGUAGCGGUGGAAUGCGUAGAUAUCGGGAGGAACACCAGUGGCGAAGGCGGCCUACUGGGCACCAACUGACGCUGAGGCUCGAAAGUGUGGGUAGCANACAGGAUUAGAUACCCUGGUAGUCCACACCGUAAACGAUGAUUACUAGGUGUUGGAGGAUUGACCCCUUCAGUGCCGCAGUUAACACAAUAAGUAAUCCACCUGGGGAGUACGACCGCAAGGUUGAAACUCAAAGGAAUUGACGGGGGCCCGCACAAGCAGUGGAGUAUGUGGUUUAAUUCGACGCAACGCGAAGAACCUUACCAAGUCUUGACAUCCCUUGACGAACAUAGAAAUAUGUUUUCUCUUCGGAGCAAGGAGACAGGUGGUGCAUGGUUGUCGUCAGCUCGUGUCGUGAGAUGUUGGGUUAAGUCCCGCAACGAGCGCAACCCUUACUGUCAGUUACUACGCAAGAGGACUCUGGCAGGACUGCCGUUGACAAAACGGAGGAAGGUGGGGAUGACGUCAAAUCAUCAUGCCCUUUAUGACUUGGGCUACACACGUACUACAAUGGCGUUAAACAAAGAGAAGCAAGACCGCGAGGUGGAGCAAAACUCAGAAACAACGUCCCAGUUCGGACUGCAGGCUGCAACUCGCCUGCACGAAGUCGGAAUUGCUAGUAAUCGUGGAUCAGCAUGCCACGGUGAAUACGUUCCCGGGCCUUGUACACACCGCCCGUCA
This 1365-nucleotide ribosomal RNA is filed under the name uncultured bacterium. Its description in RNAcentral is "16S ribosomal RNA". It matches the Rfam family "Bacterial small subunit ribosomal RNA". The record is from RNAcentral.